RNAcentral lists this transfer RNA (57 nucleotides) under Bos taurus (domestic cattle). It matches the Rfam family "tRNA", at positions 8 to 63 of the family's 71-position model. Rfam says of the family: Transfer RNA (tRNA) molecules are approximately 80 nucleotides in length. Lineage: Eukaryota; Metazoa; Chordata; Mammalia; Artiodactyla; Bovidae. The record is from Rfam by way of RNAcentral.
UGGCUCAGAGGGUAAAGCGUCUGCCUGCAAGGCAGGAGACCCAGGUUUGAUCCCUGG